Molecule: ribosomal RNA, 438 nt
Filed under: uncultured bacterium
Lineage: Bacteria
Description: bacterial SSU rRNA
Rfam family: Bacterial small subunit ribosomal RNA
Source: RNAcentral
CCUACGGGAGGCAGCAGUGGGGAAUAUUGCACAAUGGGGGAAACCCUGAUGCAGCGAUGCCGCGUGGAGGAAGAAGGUUUUCGGAUUGUAAACUCCUUUUAUCAGGGACGAUAAUGACGGUACCUGAAGAAAAAGCUCCGGCUAACUACGUGCCAGCAGCCGCGGUAAUACGUAGGGAGCGAGCGUUGUCCGGAAUUACUGGGUGUAAAGGGAGCGUAGGCGGGACGGCAAGUCAGAUGUGAAAACUGAGGGCUCAACCUUCAGACUGCAUUUGAAACUGCUGUUCUUGAGUGAAGUAGAGGUAAGCGGAAUUCCUAGUGUAGCGGUGAAAUGCGUAGAUAUUAGGAGGAACAUCGGUGGCGAAGGCGGCUUACUGGGCUUUUACUGACGCUGAGGCUCGAAAGCGUGGGGAGCAAACAGGAUUAGAUACCCUAGUAG